AGCAACAAAGCAAUGACAAACAGUUUAGGCAACAGCAACAGUCAGUCAACCAGCCAGCCAGCUAGCCAACCUGCCAACUUUAUACAGUUAUAUUAGGUAGGGUUGCCAUAUUCAACGAUCUGCUAAGCACAUCAGAAGUGAAACAACUCUGGAAUUAGCUCUGAGUGGGACAUUUCAAUCGGGCUAUACCGUUAUAUAUCUAUGUCUAACCCCACUUUGACACUUAAAAAAGAAGAAAAUUCGAAAUUUUGAAAUUCGGUCUAAUCUGCUGGAAAAUGUGGCCAAAACCAUUUUGUAACAUAAAGUUAGAGUCCAUAUGUGCAUGCAGUAGUAGUCCCUCAAGCGUCUUGGUUACUGGUGAGAGAAGGUAGAUCAGUAUGUACGACUCCCCUUUACUCGAGUCCUAUCCAGGCAUCAGUGGCGGGAUCACUCUACCCAUCUUCCAGACAUCGGGUACUGUACGAGUGUUCAAAGACAGAUUGAGCAUUGGCCCUAUAAAACUCCACAAAUGAGUCGACAGGACUGAUGUUAGCCAUCUGCUUUGAAAUCUUGCUAAAGCUGGCCCGGGGGCGGUGGUGAUGUGAGCCAUGACACGAGGUCUUUUUUCGUAACGAAACAAGAGAAAGUAGG
Molecule: long non-coding RNA, 630 nt
Organism: Stomoxys calcitrans (stable fly)
Lineage: Eukaryota; Metazoa; Arthropoda; Insecta; Diptera; Muscidae
Exons: 3
Source: RefSeq, a predicted model, not a curated record